Long non-coding RNA from Malaya genurostris, 698 nucleotides. RefSeq lists it as uncharacterized. Lineage: Eukaryota; Metazoa; Arthropoda; Insecta; Diptera; Culicidae. The record is from RefSeq and is a predicted model, not a curated record. The transcript has 3 exons.
AAAAUUUUCGAUUAAAUAAAUCAGCAUUCCAAUACGUUCUGAAUGAGAUCGCAGAUGAGUUUCCUCCUCAAAAGCAAGGCGGGAUUUCGACAGAAGUAAAACUUGCGGCGUGUCUUCGAUUCUUUGCAGAAGGUAGCUACCAACAUGGCACUGGAAAAGACUUUGACGUGGCAAUAGCGCAACCUACAUUUUCGAAGAUUCUUUCAAACAUGCUUGUCGUUUUGGAGAGGAAAAUCUGUUCAAAAUGGAUAAAUAUAGUAAUGACAGCAGAAGAAAUGAUGGAAGCAAAACGGUUCUUUUUUGAGAAAUCUGGAAUAUCUGGUGUAAUUAUGUGUGUCGAUGGUACUCACAUUAGAAUAAUUCCACCUACGAGCAAUCGCAACCUUUUUUACAAUCGAAAAGGAUUCUACAGCUUGAACGUUAUGAUCAUGUGUGACAACAGUCAGCGGAUUCGUUUUGUUGAUGCUAGUUAUCAAGGAUCAAACCAUGACUCACAUGUUUGGAGAAUGAGUUCUGCUCGAAGUUACAUGAACCAGUUGUACAGGGGAAAGAAAUACAAAAAUUUUGGGUGAUGCUGGUUAUCCUUCUGAGCCUUGGCUGUUAACCCCACACCGUGCACCAGAAGAAGGGAGCGCUGAAAGUAAUUUCAAUAGACGGCACAGCUUGGGAAGAGGCGAACAAUCGGUGUAUUAAAGCGA